CCUACGGGAGGCAGCAGUGAGGAAUAUUGGUCAAUGGACGAGAGUCUGAACCAGCCAAGUAGCGUGAAGGAUGACUGCCCUAUGGGUUGUAAACUUCUUUUAUAUGGGAAUAAAAUGUUCCACGUGUGGGAUUUUGUAUGUACCAUAUGAAUAAGGAUCGGCUAACUCCGUGCCAGCAGCCGCGGUAAUACGGAGGAUCCGAGCGUUAUCCGGAUUUAUUGGGUUUAAAGGGAGCGUAGGUGGAUUGUUAAGUCAGUUGUGAAAGUUUGCGGCUCAACCGUAAAAUUGCAGUUGAAACUGGCAGUCUUGAGUACAGUAGAGGUGAGCGGAAUUCGUGGUGUAGCGGUGAAAUGCUUAGAUAUCACGAAGAACUCCGAUUGCGAAGGUAGUUCACUGGACUGCAACUGACACUGAGGCUCGAAAGUGUGGGUAUCAAACAGGAUUAGAUACCCCUGUAGUC
Molecule: ribosomal RNA, 460 nt
Filed under: uncultured bacterium
Lineage: Bacteria
Description: partial 16S ribosomal RNA
Rfam family: Bacterial small subunit ribosomal RNA
Source: RNAcentral